GACGAACGCUGGCGGCGUGCUUAACACAUGCGAGUCGAACGGAAAGGCCCUGCUUUUGUGGGGUGCUCGAGUGGCGAACGGGUGAGUAACACGUGAGUAACCUGCCCUUGACUUUGGGAUAACUUCAGGAAACUGGGGCUAAUACCGGAUAGGAGCUCCUGCUGCAUGGCGGGGGUUGGAAAGUUUCGGCGGUUGGGGAUGGACUCGCGGCUUAUCAGCUUGUUGGUGGGGUAGUGGCUUACCAAGGCUUUGACGGGUAGCCGGCCUGAGAGGGUGACCGGCCACAUUGGGACUGAGAUACGGCCCAGACUCCUACGGGAGGCAGCAGUGGGGAAUAUUGCACAAUGGGCGGAAGCCUGAUGCAGCAACGCCGCGUGCGGGAUGACGGCCUUCGGGUUGUAAACCGCUUUCGCCUGUGACGAAGCGUGAGUGACGGUAAUGGGUAAAGAAGCACCGGCUAACUACGUG
Molecule: ribosomal RNA, 468 nt
Filed under: uncultured bacterium
Lineage: Bacteria
Description: partial 16S ribosomal RNA
Rfam family: Bacterial small subunit ribosomal RNA
Source: RNAcentral